Molecule: ribosomal RNA, 253 nt
Filed under: uncultured bacterium
Lineage: Bacteria
Description: partial 16S ribosomal RNA
Rfam family: Bacterial small subunit ribosomal RNA
Source: RNAcentral
UACGUAGGCAGCGAGCGUUGUUCGGAGUUACUGGGCGUAAAGAGUGCGUAGGCGGUUUUCUAAGUUUGGGGUGAAAUCUCCCGGCUUAACUGGGAGGGUGCGCCGAAAACUGGAAGGCUUGAGUAUGGGAGAGGUAAGCGGAAUUCCUGGUGUAGCGGUGAAAUGCGCAGAUAUCAGGAAGAACACCCGUGGCGAAGGCGGUUCUCUGGGACGGUACUGACGCUGAGACGCGAAAGCGUGGGGAGCGAACAGG